Molecule: non-coding RNA, 112 nt
Organism: Pelobates cultripes (western spadefoot toad)
Lineage: Eukaryota; Metazoa; Chordata; Amphibia; Anura; Pelobatidae
Source: the annotation of a GenBank genome assembly
AAGGGAGAACCCCCCUCCCCUUUUUUUUUUGUCUCCCUUUCUUUUUUGGAGAGUUAACAAAAAAGAAAGGGAGAAAAAAAAAGGGGAGGGGGUUCUCCCUUUUAUUUUUGUU